This 510-nucleotide ribosomal RNA is filed under the name uncultured bacterium. RNAcentral describes it as "partial 16S ribosomal RNA". It matches the Rfam family "Bacterial small subunit ribosomal RNA", at positions 28 to 507 of the family's 1533-position model. The record is from RNAcentral.
GACGAACGCUGGCGGCGUGCUUAACACAUGCAAGUCGAACGAACAGCGUUGGACGCUUGCUUCUCUCCCACUUAGUGGCGAUUGGGUGCGUAACGCGUAAUCAACCCUCCCUUCAGUGGUGGCCAACAGUUACUAACGAUUGCUAAUACUGCUACCGAUUUAUUCUCGGCAUUGAGGUUAGAUUAAUGGUGGCCUCCACUUGUAUCCCAUCACUGUAGGAGUGGGUUGCGUCUGAUUAGCUAGUAGGAGGGGUAACGGCUCACCAAGGCGAUGAUAAGUAGCCGGUCUGAGAGGAUGAACGGCCACACUGGGACUGAGACACGGCCCAGACUCCUACGGGAGGCAGCAGCAGGGAAUCUUCCGCAAUGGACGAAAGUCUGACGGAGCAACGCCGCGUGAGUGAUGACGGCCUUCGGGUUGUAAAGCUCUGUUAUUAGGGACGAAAGGCCUUGUGGCGAAUAAGGAGAAGGAGUGACGGUACCGGAAUAGAAAGCCACGGCUAACUACGUG